AGCCUUCUGUAUCUGUGCUGCGAUUUCGUCACACAUCGGACCACGAAGGCUGAUGAGACUCCCAACACAAGUGAAGUG
This 78-nucleotide microRNA precursor is filed under the name Schistosoma mattheei. RNAcentral's name for it is "mir-3492 microRNA precursor family". It matches the Rfam family "mir-3492 microRNA precursor family". Lineage: Eukaryota; Metazoa; Platyhelminthes; Trematoda; Strigeidida; Schistosomatidae. The record is from Rfam by way of RNAcentral.